UGAAGAAGGCCUUCGGGUUGUAAAGUACUUUCAGCAGUGAGGAAGGGUGUGAAGUUAAUAGCUUCAUACUUUGACGUUAGCUGCAGAAGAAGCACCGGCUAACUCCGUGCCAGCAGCCGCGGUAAUACGGAGGGUGCGAGCGUUAAUCGGAAUUACUGGGCGUAAAGCGCAUGCAGGUGGUUUGUUAAGUCAGAUGUGAAAGCCCGGGGCUCAACCUCGGAACCGCAUUUGAAACUGGCAGGCUAGAGUACUGUAGAGGGGGGUAGAAUUUCAGGUGUAGCGGUGAAAUGCGUAGAGAUCUGAAGGAAUACCAGUGGCGAAGGCGGCCCCCUGGACAGAUACUGACACUCAGAUGCGAAAGCGUGGGGAGCAAACAGGAUUAGAUACCCUGGUAGUCCACGCCGUAAACGAUGUCUACUUGGAGGUUGUGGCCUUGAGCCGUGGCUUUCGGAGCUAACGCGUUA
RNAcentral lists this ribosomal RNA (464 nucleotides) under uncultured Gammaproteobacteria bacterium. RNAcentral's name for it is "bacterial SSU rRNA". It matches the Rfam family "Bacterial small subunit ribosomal RNA", at positions 406 to 862 of the family's 1533-position model. Lineage: Bacteria; Pseudomonadati; Pseudomonadota; Gammaproteobacteria. The record is from RNAcentral.